UCCUUGUGGACAGCCCUUUGAGUUCCCACUCUGCAAUUUAAUGAAACUCCUAUGCAAAAUUCAUCUUUUCUUCAAUUCAGUUGUUCUUUUGACAUAUUUUCACUUAAUUAAUUUUGUAAAUUUUUCUUUUUCUCCACAUUUAGUGCCACAUCAGGGGGUAUUCUAGACAGAGCUGUUGAAGCAGAGGAUAAGAAACAUGGAGAUAUUCUAAGACUGGACCAUUUCAGCUCAAGAUCUGUCCCAUUUUUCAGCAAGUUUCAGAAUAAUACUUAGGGGGGAAGUUGUGGAACAUCAAAAUAUCGCUAAUGAUCUCAAAUUUCAACAAUUUAUUGUGUAUAAACCUCAUAAUGCAGGAGCUAUUGAGGUUUGUUAUAUUGUGUUGUUUCAGUUGUCUUCAUCAUGUUUCAAUGAUUUCCAGGAUGCUAUUAGUUCAUAAUUUCUGUUGGUACUUGCAGCUCUUUGGUUUAACUUGAACUUCUUUCUCUCAUUAUUCAGGGUCAAAUUAUAAAAACUAUUUAGGGUCAGAUUGUCCUGCUGCCC
Long non-coding RNA from Humulus lupulus (European hop), 540 nucleotides. RefSeq lists it as uncharacterized. Lineage: Eukaryota; Viridiplantae; Streptophyta; Magnoliopsida; Rosales; Cannabaceae. The record is from RefSeq and is a predicted model, not a curated record. The transcript is spliced from 3 exons.